RNAcentral lists this transfer RNA (75 nucleotides) under Acidobacteriota bacterium. Its description in RNAcentral is "Acidobacteria bacterium (bioreactor metagenome) tRNA-Gln". It matches the Rfam family "tRNA". From Rfam's summary of the family: Transfer RNA (tRNA) molecules are approximately 80 nucleotides in length. Their secondary structure includes four short double-helical elements and three loops (D, anti-codon, and T loops). Further hydrogen bonds mediate the characteristic L-shaped molecular structure. tRNAs have two regions of fundamental functional importance: the anti-codon, which is responsible for specific mRNA codon recognition, and the 3' end, to which the tRNAs corresponding amino acid is attached (by aminoacyl-tRNA synthetases). tRNAs cope with the degeneracy of the genetic code in two manners: having more than one tRNA (with a specific anti-codon) for a particular amino acid; and 'wobble' base-pairing, i.e. permitting non-standard base-pairing at the 3rd anti-codon position. Lineage: Bacteria; Pseudomonadati; Acidobacteriota. The record is from RNAcentral.
UGGGGAGUCGGCAAGUGGUAAGCCAGCGGUCUUUGGAACCGCCUAUCGGAGGUUCGAAUCCUCCCUCCCCAGCCA